AUGAGAAUCGCACGGGGAAUAAACAAGUAAAAGGGAUUGAAUGGACUUCUCUUUCGGAGUGCUGGACCAGAUGACCUUCUUUUGAAUAGUAAAUGUAGCUCUAUGGCUGGUAGGCAGGAUUAUAUAUAGAAACACUACCGCAUUCAAAGAAUAAGGAAGAAUACACUAAAGUCCUCAAGUCAGGUGUCUGACAUCCUGUGAGAUCCUGGGAGAGUUGCCGAGGUGACGUCUCGCUGCUAACAGAACCAGAGAGAUCCGGCGUGAGCGAAGAAGGGAGACCACGGCGAGAAUGGUGUGACUGCUGAUAAACGCCUGUUCCUAUGUGGCUCGGAAGGUGGUGUCUCUGUGUGGGGAGCGAAGGGACGAUCGAGGGGAAACGCCCACCGUGUGUGGUCAGGCGAAGAGCUCGUGUGGAGCGCUGAAGAUGGAGCAGAAAGUAAAAACCCUCCAUCCCAGCCACACAGCCUCCAUGGGGAUGAGAUCCAAGGAGUCUCUAGGGCUUCCCUGUGGCUCCUGAGGGUAAGGACAGGGUCUGGUGCAGAGCGACCUCGUCUAAGUGGGCGCUGGAGCUCUGCUGACCCUUUCCCCCCCACUCUCCUCCUACCCGCCCUUUCACCCCCCACGCUCUCCCCCCUCUCCCUGCUGUUCUGUCCCAAGGAAGCCAUGACGACCUGCUCAUAACCUCCUAUCUGUUGGGAGAUGAACUUGUCUGAAGAUACUUUCCUUGUACCAGAAAACGCAACGGCAUCUCCUCAGCUCAUCUUCUCAAACCUCUUCUGGGCCAACAAAUAAACGGUUUGAUAUUCUAAAAGAAAGUAACAUAUCAUACUCAAGUACAAAAUACCAGUAAUCAUGUCUUAUAAUCUAGAACAAAAUAACAUGUAUUACUAUUUUAAAAAUGUUUUCAUGCUUCGUACUUUUAGGUUUAAAAAUAAUCCUUUGCUGUUUUUGGUGGAAUCAGUUUCCUUAAUAAUGAUCCCAAUAAAGAACAUUUCCUGAGA
Molecule: long non-coding RNA, 1001 nt
Organism: Callorhinchus milii (elephant shark)
Lineage: Eukaryota; Metazoa; Chordata; Chondrichthyes; Chimaeriformes; Callorhinchidae
Exons: 4
Source: RefSeq, a predicted model, not a curated record